RNAcentral lists this ribosomal RNA (492 nucleotides) under uncultured bacterium. RNAcentral's name for it is "partial 16S ribosomal RNA". It matches the Rfam family "Bacterial small subunit ribosomal RNA", at positions 30 to 507 of the family's 1533-position model. The record is from RNAcentral.
AUUGAACGCUGGCGGCAUGCUUUACACAUGCAAGUCGAACGGUAACAGGCCUUCGGGUGCUGACGAGUGGCGAACGGGUGAGUAAUGCAUCGGAACGUACCCAGAGGUGGGGGAUAACGCAGCGAAAGCUGUGCUAAUACCGCAUGUGAUCUGAGGAUGAAAGCGGGGGACCGAGCAGCAAUGUUUUGCCUCGCGCCUUUGGAGCGGCCGAUGUCGGAUUAGCUAGUUGGUGGGGUAAAGGCCUACCAAGGCGACGAUCCGUAGCUGGUCUGAGAGGACGACCGGCCACACUGGAACUGAGACACGGCCCAGACUCCUACGGGGGGCAGCAGUGGGGAAUUUUGGACAAUGGGCGCAAGCCUGAUCCAGCAAUGCCGCGUGCGGGAAGAAGGCCUUCGGGUUGUAAACCGCUUUUGGCAGGAACGAAACGGUGUCCGCUAAUACCGGGCGCUAAUGACGGUACCUGCAGAAUAAGCACCGGCUAACUACGUG